Molecule: unclassified non-coding RNA, 387 nt
Filed under: soil metagenome
Description: partial contains 5.8S ribosomal RNA, internal transcribed spacer 2, and large subunit ribosomal RNA
Rfam family: 5.8S ribosomal RNA (bases 1-120)
Source: RNAcentral
GAUGAAGAACGCAGCGAAAUGCGAUAAGUAAUGUGAAUUGCAGAAUUCAGUGAAUCAUCGAAUCUUUGAACGCACCUUGCACCCUUUGGUAUUCCGAAGGGUAUGCUCGUUUGAGUGUCAUUGUACUCUCACACUUCUAAUUCCUUUCGGGAUUUGGAGCGGUGGACUUGGGUGUUGCUGCUUUAGUUGUGGCUCACCUCAAAUAAGUUAGUGCAACUCUUGGUUGGACAUAGUACGGCGUGAUAAGUGUCUUCGCCGGCGCCUCUGUAAGGAGGGUGGCCGAUCGGGAGCUCUGUGCUUCAAACCGUCUUCGGACAAUCUUUGACAACUUGACCUCAAAUCGAGUAGGACUACCCGCUGAACUUAAGCAUAUCAAUAAGCGGAGGA